RNAcentral lists this long non-coding RNA (1094 nucleotides) under Equus caballus (horse). RNAcentral's name for it is "lncRNA (ENSECAG00000056313.1)". Lineage: Eukaryota; Metazoa; Chordata; Mammalia; Perissodactyla; Equidae. The record is from RNAcentral.
UUUUUAUUUAUCGUGUUAAAUUUACAGGCUAGCCUAGGGGCAUUUAUAUUUUGUGACGUUAAAUCUUCCUAGUUUAUGAUCUGAAUUGUCAGCAUCACUACUCUUGUGCUUUGGGGCCAUUAUUAAGGAAAAUAAGGGUGACUUGAACACCCUUGCUUGAACCCAGGUUCCCAUUGCUUCACCAUGUUGUCCUCCCUCAGGGAUGGGCUGGAAGAGCCUCCACAUCUUGGAAUCUUGCUGGUCACCAUGGUCACAUGAGUCAUGCACUGGAUUUUAAAGGCUUCCACCUGGAAGUGGUGCAUGCUAUUUCCCCUCACAUUUCAUUGGUCAAGGAAAGUCAUGUGACCACACCUAACUUCAAGGAGCCAGGAAAGUACAGUCCUUUAGAGAAGUUCUUGGAAGGAGAAGUGGAAAUAUUGGUAAAUAGCAGUAAGGCCAAAUGUACUAUCAUUUAUUUCAUAUCCCCUUGUAUUUAUUUUAGUUCAGCAUUUUUACUGGUUGAGAUAAUUUUACAUCUUGAUUCUGGUAUGAAUUUUAUUAGCUGCUAAAUUUUGAGAGUUAUGGCAUUUCCCUAAGAACUGCCCCUAGCCUGAUAGUGAUCCACUGACCAGUGUAUUAAGACUACAGUCAUUCAAUGGUUUCAAGUCCACUUUCUCCAUAAGGCGAUCAUAAGAAAUUCUAUCACAUUCUUUGCUGAAAUCAAGGCAUACUAUUUGGAUAUCUUGCCCUUGACUUAUUAAUGUAGGAUCUCUAUCAAAAAAGGAGAUGAGAUGAGUUAAGAUGAAUACUUGAUGUUCUGUAAGUUUGGAAUAUUAUGAACCGAAGGUCUGGAUAAGUGAAUUUUUAGCUUUUAUUUAAACAUAGAACCAACAUUAUUUUAAUAACUUCUGUUAGUGACACAAGGUAAUAUAUCAGUUGGGCUCUCUAGUUGGGUAUUUGGGGGUCUUGCAGACAGUUGGAAGCUGUCAGCCAAGUACCAAACCAGCCUUCAGAACCAAAGAAAAGACACAAUUCUCCCAAAGUGAUAAUAGCAUCAAUAAAGUGAACACUUGCAUGGUACUUGGUGCACGGAUGUUUUGGGGCCAGAGCAGACG